UACGGAGGGUGCGAGCGUUAAUCGGAAUUACUGGGCGUAAAGGGCGCGUAGGCGGUUCGAUAAGUCGGGUGUGAAAGCCCCAGGCUUAACCUGGGAAUUGCAUUCGAUACUGUCGGGCUAGAGUGUGGUAGAGGAAAGCGGAAUUCCCGGUGUAGCGGUGAAAUGCGUAGAUAUCGGGAGGAACAUCAGUGGCGAAGGCGGCUUUCUGGACCAACACUGACGCUGAGGCGCGAAAGCGUGGGGAGCAAACAGG
Molecule: ribosomal RNA, 253 nt
Filed under: uncultured bacterium
Lineage: Bacteria
Description: partial 16S ribosomal RNA
Rfam family: Bacterial small subunit ribosomal RNA
Source: RNAcentral